This 435-nucleotide ribosomal RNA is filed under the name Triticum aestivum (bread wheat). RNAcentral describes it as "partial small subunit ribosomal RNA". The record is from RNAcentral. Lineage: Eukaryota; Viridiplantae; Streptophyta; Magnoliopsida; Poales; Poaceae.
AUGACUAGAGAUAAUAUCAGAAAAAGACAGAUUAUUAAGCCACUUGAUUGUGUCUUCUGCUCUGAGGCUGAAACAUGUACACACCUAUUCUUUGAGUGUGUUGUGGCUAGGCAAAUUUGGUCAUUGAUCACAAGCCAUUUUGGAGUAAACAUAGGGACUAACUUUGAAUCAGUUGCCAAAUUUUGGAUUGCUAAUAAAAAACAUUCAGUUCUCGGCACUGUUAGUGCUGCUAUACUUUGGUGUGUUUGGAAAUAUAGGAACUCCAUUAUUUUCAAUAACACCUUAUGGGUCUCGAUUAAGCAGGUGCUGAGGUUGAUCUUAAGGACUAUCAAGAACUAGACAAUAUUGUCCUCGGGCGAGAAUGCAGAAAGGCUGGAGGCCUUCUCAACACAUCUUAAAAACUUCCUGAGACGACCGCUACUGAUCAGUGGCUGA